Non-coding RNA from Fibrobacter succinogenes subsp. succinogenes S85, 104 nucleotides. NCBI's taxonomy places the organism in Bacteria, Pseudomonadati, Fibrobacterota, Fibrobacteria, Fibrobacterales, Fibrobacteraceae. The record is from Rfam.
UAUCAUGUCUACGGGAGCUCGUAAAACGGGCUGAGAGGAAGUUGAAAACUUCGACCGAACCUGAUUUGGAUAAUGCCAACGUAGGGAGGUUCCAUUGAACUCAA